This 5865-nucleotide long non-coding RNA is filed under the name Fragaria vesca (wild strawberry). RNAcentral's name for it is "long non-coding RNA (FVES_LNC001588)". The record is from RNAcentral. Lineage: Eukaryota; Viridiplantae; Streptophyta; Magnoliopsida; Rosales; Rosaceae.
AUCGUCUUUGCAGCAUCUGUCUUCAACCUCUUUCUCACACACUCAGAGUCUCUGACCUUUCUCUCUUGACCAUAUUCGGCUGCAAUGCCCAUCUCUGGUUUCUGGAGAGCAAAGGUAGGAAUUCUUUCCGCUUGUAACAGUUUCUUCUUUAUGAAUGAAAUGCCUUCGUUGGAUUAAAAGAAUAAUUCCUAUUUCUGGUACUUGGGCCCAACUUCACAUCUGAGUUAGGGCUUUCUACUCAAGUUUUGUCUUUGUAAUCCACCUCCCAUUGCGUGUAGAGGAACGGAGAGCUCUUGUAGUUCAGGCACUUUGGCUUUUGUAGAUUCUCAGUUUGCAUUGCUAAUAGCCUCCAUGUCUUAAAGCAGCAGCAGAGACCAAAGUGUUCAAGCCAUCACAAAAGCAAAGACCAACAGUGUGCACGCCUCCCUGAUUUUCAGGUUCCGAUCUCUGUUCCCUAAUUUCAUUAUCUCACAUUACCCCCAGGGUUGGAUUUCUGUCCUCACUUGUUUUACAUACAUAGCUAGGUGAAUUAAGAUAUUACUCAUAUUAGGAGCUUAGAUAAUAACUCCAGGGAAAGAGCUUGCAUUUGAUAGCCUUCAAUUUCAAGAUUACAACUUUGAUCUUACACAAGGGAAAAUCAACACACUUUUAGAUCUUACAUUUUGUUAUUCAAACCCACAAGGCUAAUUGUUCAAAACAUGAAAGAAAGACAAGAUUACAGUGUGUAGAAACUAUAUGACUUGCCAGAAAUGGAAGAUCAUUUUGGCAAUUCGGCUUCACUAGUUGUAGGGACCUUCUCAUAUGAACCCAGCUCUCUCAACUUCUUAGGAAGAAAGCAACGACCCCCGAACUUCUGUUGCAAGAAGAUUAUCACAGCAAACAGUAGGCAUCCAAUAGGAAUGGUGACAUCCCAAGAAGUAGAGUAGAAGUCUGCGACAGGACUUGCAUAAAUGUAUGGGAUACCAUGUUCGUGAUGAACAGAGUUGUCAGUCCUGUAAAGGUCAUAAGCAUGUGGCAGAACUCGAACCGAGGUUGUCCCAAUGUAGAACCAAACAGAUAGAGCUCUUUCCUUUGAUUUGCAGACCAUGUUGAGAAGAAUUUGAGCAAACAGAAAACCAUCCAAGACCAAACCAGCAUAGGAUUUCAAGGUACCCAAAAUGGUAUGUACAUGAUUGCUAGAUUUCAUUAGAAGACCCAAAGUAACUAAAACCCCAAUGGCAUACACUGGUAAAGCCUUCUUUUCCGCAUCCCAAAGUUCAUUUUGCUUCCCAUUUGCUGAUCUUGCUGACCAACUCUGCUGCAGAAGACGGAAUUGCAGCAAGAAAGCUACCAUCGUUACUAACCUUACAAUUAUCUCAUUAACUUCAAGCCAUCCACCACUUCCCAGUAACACAUCUUGGCGGUUGGUGUUGUGAGUGAACAUGGCAUCAAAAUUUAGCAUAAGAGGUAUCAUGUAGCCAAGGGUCAGAAUUAAUAGCAUUAAGAUGGAAAUAGAGGGAAGCACAUCAGGAUGUUUUUUCACAUGGAAGAGUUGUACUGCGACAAAAACACAUGCGAGUGUUGUUGAUAUAAGAACCAAUGUGAUCUCCAUAUCCAUCCUCCAAAUGGAUCGUUCUGCUUCAAUCAGGUAAUCAGCAGCUGAAUUUAAAGCCAAUCGCUCGAAAUGAAGAGGAUCAGACUUUUUUCGUGUGCUUUCAAUGCUUACCUCAAUAUAACCUGUAUUGUUACUGUGUUGAUUUGUUGGAGGGAACUGAAAAUUGACAAGAAUCUCACAAUCUACAGAAUCUUUAGUGGUCUGUUGAUUACUGUUGAAGCCAACAUCUCGACAGCCUGUCAUGCACAGGCUUCCUUCUACAGCAUCAUAGAGCCCUUCUGCUGAAAUCUGCAUUUCCUUUGUUUGUAUUGUAUGGCCUGACUUUCCAGCAGAUUUCUCCAGCAGUUCGAUGUUUAUUCUGUAGCUAAUAUUGGUGGGGUUGCUACAGUUGUAGCUGUAUCUCAUCACAGGAAAGGAGCUCAAAGGAGCUAGAGAGUACCUUACAUCUCCAAUUGCAUUUGAAUAUUGUGUUGAAGAUAAAUACUGCUCAUAGAACUGAUUGCCAACAGAAAGAGGAUCAGAAUUUCCCCAUGCACCUUGUCCUUUAGAACUUUUUGCUGACAUAUCGAAUUUCAUGUCGUAAGAAAACGGACUUGGGUACAUGUUUCUCUUCUGAUCAUUAGCAGCAGACUUCUUUUUUGGGCACAACUUAGUUACCUGGUCUAUUUUAGUAUACACAUAUUUUGGCCCUGGAACUAGAACCCUUCCCGCCUCACUCUGACGAGUUUGAAAUGUGAUCUUGUCAAAGUAACCUGACUCAGUCUUGGAUUUGCUGCUCCAAAUAUGCCCCACGACACUACUAGUGUCUCCGAUUGUCCAUAUUGCAGGAAAUCUCAUGCUCAAUCUAGUUGAACAGUCAUCCACAUGAGAAUUGUUGAAAGAAUCUGUUACAGCCUGGAAGAAUUUACAAGCAGCAAAUUGUAUUCGACUUUUUUGUGCAUCCCAUGAGCCUUCCGCGAUGAAACUUGUAUUGGGGUUGAAAGGCCUCUGAUACCAGUUGUUGCUACUGUCUGAAAAUUCCACCAGUACUCUCAACCUUCUAGUAUACUCUGUACACUCGAUAUCCUUGAACGACAGCAGACGGGGCAAAUGAUCAGAUACGCCAAGUGGAGUGCAGUUCUUUGCAGAAACGCACUGGCUUGAAUAUUUGAGAUCAAAUUCAUACUUUAGUACUACUGUUGAGAGUUGUGAACAAAAUCUCUCCAAGUGCAAAGAACUAGGGGGAUCAUGAUCAUCAAUUCCAACAGAAGAGCUGUUAUCAUUAGAGUUAUUUGAAACCCAAGUAUACUGGUAGUUCAUCUGAGGAAGCAACAAAAUAGAAAUUGGAUCAAAAUAUUUUGCAUCCUUGAUCAUAUCAGAACCGCUGAUCAAACUCUCUAAUGUUCCAGUAAUCAAACUUGUAAUAUUAGUGGAAUUCAUGACAUUAUAGAGCUUAAGAACAGCAGGAUAAUGAAGCAUAGUUUUCCAGUAAGUGUGACCAUAACCAACCAUACAAAGCUUCCCAGAAGAUUCUGACCAGAACCCGUUGAGUCUAAAGCUAACUGACCUUUGAUAUGCUGGAUUUGAUCGAGUCCUGUAGCCUGGAUAAGGCUGGCUGCUGCUGGAGUUUCCUACAUAGUAUAACAUACUCGCCUUUUCCACAUGAAGAGUUGCUCCUAACUUGAACAAGCCUUCCACAUCAGUUGCUUCAAAAUUCCAUUUGCUGAAUUCAAUUGAAUUACGAACUUGUUGAUGGUAAAACGAUGAGUUGCCAUUAGGACUAUUGGCAGUGUCACCAGCAGUGUAGUAGUAACCUGUAUGGCUGAAGGCAAAGGGAUGAAGUCCUCGAUAUAUUUUUGAGUUUGCUUCAGGAACAACUGAAGCACAGUGAUCCGCAUAAGCGAGUUCAUCGUGUGAAACAGAGGAUGAGAUUAAAUUCAAUGAUAGGGAGGUGAAAGCAAAGAAGAUCAUGACAACUUGACAAGCUUUGGCUUUCUGAGGAUAGUCAUAGCUUCUCUGUUAGUAUUUAUGUUUUGGGAGAACGGGAGAAGAAGAACAAUAGGCAAUGCAGUUUUGAAAGGUUGUGAUGGUUCUUAUGUACUAAAGACAGUCUGAAGUACCAGGUCAACCUUCAUCCACUACUACCUAGUAUUACCACAGUCCAGAAGUUAUUACUGAUAGUUUAGAUGAAACCAAUAGACCUAUUUUUUACUUUCCCCAAGUUAAUUUCAUAACAAAAAAUUAAUCAUUUUUCAAGUCUAGUGUAAAAAACAUUUACCCCAACACAGUGAGUACAUUAACCUUUACCAAGAAGGGCUGUUGGGGACGCAGUCGGGACUGCCAUUCCUAUUUUGUUACUCACCAAGAUAAGUGUGAUUAGGGUAUAUGGAUUCCAUAAGACUCAAAGAUGAUAGCUUACACAGUAAUGAUAUUUUGUCAUAUCUUGGCCCUUGUAUUGGUUUGAACUUUAAAGAUUCCAAAGUUAUCAUAGGAUUUGUAUCAUCUGGUCAGCUGGUCUUAUCCCAAGUCAUCAUAACUUGGAAAAUGUUGGCAUGACAAUACAUCGCUAGUAGCUUUCAUUUGGACCAACUUAGGGUCAGUAGUCUAGAUUGAAAUUCUGAUAUUAUUUGUUCAAGCUUAUAAUAUGUUCAGUAGCAUAACUUCUUAUCAUCCUUUUCUUUUGUCUUAGCAUACAGAAUAAAAGUUGUUUUCCUUGCAAAUUUUCUUGUUUCUGUGAAGUAAACAGAGUGCAUAUGUUAAAAGGUAGAGUCCAAUGGCAGUUCUGACUUCUGAGCAAAGAGUAUGAAAGAAAAACAAAAUGACUAGACUUUGACUGACUCUAGUCCAAUUGGAUGAGCAGAGCAUAGAGGUUGUUGAUAUUUUCCUUCUUGUCGAUCAAUCCCAUAAACUUGUUCUGAGAAGUUUCCUUGUUUUUGGGUCCAUAACAAAGUACAUAUACCAUUGGUAACUCCGGUGCUUUAAUUAUUUCAAUGCCUCUAAAUGUAACUACAAAACAUCACCAAAGUAUUAUGCUGAAUUUGAUGCCAUAUGUAUAUAGUAAUAACCCAUGUCCAUAUUGGUAUUGGUAUUGCUGUCUCCAUCUUAGUACUAUCUUUCUCAGGAAGCUCAGCCCUGAAUGAGUUUAAAGUUGUUAUAUCAUUGCUCAUAUAUUAAUGUUUCCUAAAGCUCAACGACUACAAAAAGAAAAGAAAAGAAAGUAUACACGAAAUGGAAAAACGCAUGCUGAAUAAGAUGAACUGAUGGAUUUAUAUCCUGUUUCAUUAUCGUAUUAGUUCCUUAGUUAUGUAACUUGUAUUUUUGCAUUGCUUUUUGUUCUUGCUUUUAUUUUAUUUGAUGUAUCUUUAAAUCUUCCAGUACGGAUAUAUCCACACACAAAGACACUAACAUGAUCGCCAGUAAGCAAAACUAGCAUCUCAUAAUCUUAAUUUGUUCAACCACCUUGUGUUUGAAUUAUUCUGUUUCAUUCUAUGCUGCAGCUAUUCAAGUCCUUCAUGGUCACCAUUGCAUCUCAUUUCUUCCUGAAUCACCUUGUUCCAAUGGCAGACAAAUAAUACUACACUGGUGGUGACAGGGGCAUUGCUGAGCUCUGAUCUGCCUUUCCAGAUAAAUCAAAUUUCCAGGUACUUUUUCGAGUUUGCUUGCCUCUUUGACAGUAUACAUUAAAUAACUGGCAUAUGGAUUUUUGCUCUUCACUUUGUAUGUAUUUAUUUGCUUUAUAGCUAAGUGCAUCAAGUUUAGAAUAAAACUUGAGUAUUCAAUCAACUAAGCGCCUUCCUAAUUAGUCUUACGUUGCCACCUAAUAGUUUCAACUGACUUUGUUGCGUGAGGAUAGUUUGAUAUCAUAAACUUUUGAAAUUAGAAGGUUUCUAUUAUACGAGAUAAAAGUGGAAGUGCAUACAUUAAAGCGGAUAAAACUAAAAGGCUUAAAUCUUACAUUCUUCUUUUUCUUCAAUAUACCAAAAGCCUAGGCAUUUUAAAUAGGAAAGGAAACAAAGGGGUCCAGAUAUGAAGUCUGUCCAAUUCUGUCAUUGACUAUGAUUGAGCUUCCACUGACCAUGAAUACCAGAAAUGGAGUGCUACACUAGAAUACUAGAUUACCUUGGCAACUCAUCUUCGCUAACUGAAGGGACUUCCUCAUACAAACCCUGCUCUCUCAACUUUUUAGGAAGAAAGCAGCGACCCCCAAACUUCUGCUGCAAGAAAAUGAUCAGAGAAAACAGUAGACCUCCAAUAGGAAUAAUUACAUCCCAAGAAGUAGAGUAGAAAUCUGC